UGGGGAAUAUUGGACAAUGGGGGAAACCCUGAUCCAGCAACGCCGCGUGAAUGAAGAAGGCCUUAGGGUUGUAAAGUUCUUUUGUCCUUGAGCAAAGCAUUAUGGCUAAUACCUGUAAUGGCUGAGAGUAGAGGAAGAAUAAGCACCGGCUAACUACGUGCCAGCAGCCGCGGUAAUACGUAGGGUGCGAGCGUUAAUCGGAAUUACUGGGCGUAAAGGGUGCGCAGGCGGAUUGAUAAGUUAGAUGUGAAAUACCUGAGCUUAACUUGGGAAUAGCAUUUAAGACUGUUAGUCUAGAGUAUGUAAGAGGGGGGUAGAAUUUCUGGUGUAGCAGUGAAAUGCGUAGAUAUCAGAAGGAAUACCGAUGGCGAAGGCAGCCCCCUGGGAUAAUACUGACGCU
This 400-nucleotide ribosomal RNA is filed under the name uncultured bacterium. RNAcentral describes it as "bacterial SSU rRNA". It matches the Rfam family "Bacterial small subunit ribosomal RNA", at positions 355 to 747 of the family's 1533-position model. The record is from RNAcentral.